RNAcentral lists this long non-coding RNA (309 nucleotides) under Elaeis guineensis (African oil palm). RNAcentral's name for it is "long non-coding RNA (EGUI_LNC036180)". The record is from RNAcentral. Lineage: Eukaryota; Viridiplantae; Streptophyta; Magnoliopsida; Arecales; Arecaceae.
GUUUGAGAAACCAAAUUAAAAUAAGUCAUAAGAUAGAAUCCUAGUAAGACUAGGAUUCCACCUUGCACCACAUAAGCCUUCCCCACGCCCUCUCUCUCAUUAAAUGCCAAUCUCUUCUUAUUUUGUGUGACAAAAGUCCUCUCCUAGGUCUCUCCCACGUUCACAAAAGGUCUCCUCUCUUCUUUCUUACAUGGAAGGUGGUUUGGAUCAAAUCAAAAAGGAAUAAGUUUGGAUUUCGAAUUCUAUGAGAUAGAGUUUUAGAAAUCCAAAACUCUUUCAAUUUUGUACCGAAUUUAUCCAAAUUUUUUU